This 834-nucleotide ribosomal RNA is filed under the name uncultured archaeon. RNAcentral's name for it is "bacterial SSU rRNA". It matches the Rfam family "Archaeal small subunit ribosomal RNA", at positions 48 to 886 of the family's 1478-position model. The record is from RNAcentral.
GCCAUGCGAGUCGAGAGGGUUCGGCCCUCGGCGAACUGCUCAGUAACACGNUGGANAAUCUAACCUUAGGUGGAGCAUAACCUCGGGAAACUGAGAAUAAUACUCCAUAGAUCUUUGAGGCUGGAAUGCGCUUAGAUUGAAAGCUUCGGCGCCUAAGGAUGAGUCUGCGGACUAUCAGGUAGUAGUCAGGGUAAAGACCUGACUAGCCUACGACGGAUACGGGUUGUGAGAGCAAUAACCCGGAGAUGAUAUCUGAGACACGAUAUCAGGCCCUACGGGGCGCAGCAGGCGCGAAAACUUCACAAUGCGCGAAAGCGCGAUGAGGGGAUCCCAAGUGCUUGCACGUAAGUGUAAGCUGUUUUUCUGUCUAAAAAGCAGAGAGAGUAAGGGCUGGGUAAGACGGGUGCCAGCCGCCGCGGUAAUACCUGCAGCUCAAGUGGUGGCCGCUAUUAUUGGGCCUAAAACGUCCGUAGCCGGCUGAGUAAAUGCCUGGGUAAAUCGUGUGGCUUAACCAUACGAAUUCCGGGUAGACUGCUCAGCUUGGGACCGGAAGAAGUUAGAGGUACUCCUGGGAUAGGGGUGAAAUCCUGUAAUCCUGGGGGGACCACCAGUGGCGAAGGCGUCUAACUAGGACGGGUCUGACGGUGAGGGACGAAGCCCUGGGGCGCAAACCGGAUUAGAUACCCGGGUAGUCCAGGGUGUAAACGCUGCUUGCUUGAUGUUAGCUGGGCUCCGAGCUCGGCUAGUGUCGGAGAGAAGUUGUUAAGCAAGCUGCCUGGGAAGUACGGUCGCAAGACUGAAACUUUAAAGGGAAUUGGCCGGGGGAGCACAAGG